UUACCAAGGCAAUGAUGCGUAGCCGAACUGAGAGGUUGAUCGGCCACAUUGGGACUGAGACACGGCCCAAACUCCUACGGGAGGCAGCAGUAGGGAAUCUUCCACAAUGGGCGAAAGCCUGAUGGAGCAACGCCGCGUGGGUGAAGAAGGUCUUCGGAUCGUAAAACCCUGUUGUUAGAGAAGAAAGUGCGUGAGAGUAACUGUUCACGUUUCGACGGUAUCUAACCAGAAAGCCACGGCUAACUACGUGCCAGCAGCCGCGGUAAUACGUAGGUGGCAAGCGUUAUCCGGAUUUAUUGGGCGUAAAGGGAACGCAGGCGGUCUUUUAAGUCUGAUGUGAAAGCCUUCGGCUUAACCGGAGUAGUGCAUUGGAAACUGGGAGACUUGAGUGCAGAAGAGGAGAGUGGAACUCCAUGUGUAGCGGUGAAAUGCGUAGAUAUAUGGAAGAACACCAGUGGCGAAAGCGGCUCUCUGGUCUGUAACUGACGCUGAGGUUCGAAAGCGUGGGUAGCAAACAGGAUUAGAUACCCUGGUAGUCCACGCCGUAAACGAUGAAUGCUAAGUGUUGGAGGGUUUCCGCCCUUCAGUGCUGCAGCUAACGCAAUAAGCAUUCCGCCUGGGGAGUACGACCGCAAGGUUGAAACUCAAAGGAAUUGACGGGGGCCCGCACAAGCGGUGGAGCAUGUGGUUUAAUUCGAAGCAACGCGAAGAACCUUACCAGGUCUUGACAUCUUUUGACAAUCCUAGAGAUAGGACUUUCCCUUCGGGGACAAAAUGACAGGUGGUGCAUGGUUGUCGUCAGCUCGCGUCGUGAGAUGUUGGGUUAAGUCCCGCAACGAGCGCAACCCUUAUUGUUAGUUGCCAGCAUUAAGUUGGGCACUCUAGCAAGACUGCCGGUGACAAACCGGAGGAAGGUGGGGAUGACGUCAAAUCAUCAUGCCCCUUAUGACCUGGGCUACACACGUGCUACAAUGGACGGUACAACGAGUCGCAAGACCGCGAGGUUUAGCAAAUCUCUUAAAGCCGUUCUCAGUUCGGAUUGUAGGCUGCAACUCGCCUACAUGAAGUCGGAAUCGCUAGUAAUCGCGGAUCAGCAUGCCGCGGUUAAUACGUUCCCGGGCCUUGUACACACCGCCCGUCACACCAUGAGAGUUUGUAACACCCAAAGCCGGUGGGGUAACCUUUUGGAGCCAGCCGUCUAAGGUGGGACAGAUGAUUAGGGUGAA
RNAcentral lists this ribosomal RNA (1226 nucleotides) under uncultured bacterium. RNAcentral describes it as "bacterial SSU rRNA". It matches the Rfam family "Bacterial small subunit ribosomal RNA", at positions 265 to 1484 of the family's 1533-position model. The record is from RNAcentral.